Long non-coding RNA from Microcebus murinus (gray mouse lemur), 2283 nucleotides. RefSeq lists it as uncharacterized. Lineage: Eukaryota; Metazoa; Chordata; Mammalia; Primates; Cheirogaleidae. The record is from RefSeq and is a predicted model, not a curated record.
UGAGGAAGGUUCUUACUUGACAACCUGGGUCAUCAGCAGGUGCCCACACACUGGCUCGGCAGGUGUAUAAAGCAGGGACCCUUCCUCUUUGGAAAUGCUUUUGUGGUGUGUUCACUCUCUCUCCUUAGCUCAGAGAACCGGCACCUGCAGUUCUCCUGGUGUGAGGAUGGGGCUCAUUCCAUCCUCAGAGUCCAGACAGGAAAGCAGAAACAUACUGGUUAUUUUAACAGAGGUAAUUGAAUUUAGGGGACGAGUUAGACAGACAGCAAGUGACUUAAAGGCAAAAAAACAAAAAAGGAAACUGGAGUCUUGUGGCUGCAGUCAAUGUAGGAAGAAGUGGCCUGCCCUAGGUCUGGGGGAACAAAGGACAGAGGGCACGAAGCCUGGCGGAGGAGCCUUGCUCGCUGGAGCCCAGCCCUGGAGGGAGCAGGUGCUGUCUGGACGCCACAGAGCUGGCACUCAGACUUCUGAAGAAAUGCUGCCGUGGGAGGGAGAACGAUGGGGCUGGUUAUAGAAAUGCGGAAAAAACUAGACACCGAAAUAAAAUACUCCUCAACAGGCGCUGCAGGGGAAGCCACAUUGCUUGGAUGCUGCUGACAUGAGCAGUGUGCAAAGAGAAGGGUCCAGUCCCCUGUCCCUCCUCCAGCCCUGCAGUGUCCCUCUGGCAGCACAUGGGCAGAGCUGGUCAGGGAGGCCUGGCAAAGAGGAAAGGUGGUGUGGCGUCCCCAGUGUUCCCAGCAUCACAGGGCUAAGUGUAGAAGGCUGCGUUUGGAGCUGAGAAGCUGUAGCUUAGUAAUCAGAACACUGUGCCUGGUGGUCACUUAUAUUUCCUUCCCCAGAACCCAGGCAUCAGGGUACUCUUUGGUCAAGGUCUUCUUGUCCCCGUCAGGGGCUCUCAUUGGCAGGGGUCAGUCUAACCCCAGUCUAACCCAUAUUUGCCUGUUGAUCCCUGGGGAAUAGUCACACAUCCUUGCCCUGGUGUCAGCCUGCUCUCUGCUCAGCUCUCACGGUGGCCCCCUUGCCCUCACUCCUCACCCUCAGGACCUUUGAGCAGGGAGCCAGGCAUAACUUCACUGUGUCCACCAAAAAGCAAAUCACAACAGCUAGCUUUCCGAGUGAUGUCCUUUAAGUGCCUUUUCUUUGCCUUGAGAUACAAGGAAGAAUGCCCACAUUCCUUGGAGAACAUCAAGACUCUCACCAGGAAAAUCUGGCUCCAGCUCCAGCUUCUUCAAACCUUUCCUGUCACCAACUGGGUGAGGGGUGAUGAGCCCUGCAAUUGGUUUUCUCUUCCUCUUUCUGAAAUCGAGCCUCAGGAUAUUGCACCUCGUUCUGGAAUAUGACAUCUGUCGAUUUGGAGGAUUAUCAAUAUAACAAAAAGGAAAAGACAUCCUCCUCCAUUCCCAUGGCAUAUGUGAGACCUAAGGAGAAGAUAGAAAUACAAGGAAAUAGUCAGAAUGCAGCGUGCAAAAGUAAGGAAGUAAAGAGUCAAUUUUGCAACCCACGUGUAGCAAGUUUGGGGGACCUUAUAGAAAAAAAGUGAAGAUAUUGUGCCAUAGAUUCCAUUGGUUUGGUCUGGUUUGAACAAGACAGCUCACAGCUCAGCGCCGGCGCGGAAAGCCAUGACGUCAGCCCCACGGACGGUGCUCACACGGUCUCCACCUGGCCACACAGAACACCCACGCAGUCUGAUCUGGCCCCAUUCAUGCUUGUGUCCUCUGAUUUUCCCGUUCUGCUCCUGUCCACUCUCUGCACGUAGCACCCUCGGUUUUCCUGGCUUAGAUUUGCAAGUUUUGAGACAUCAGUCCCUCUCACCUUUCAGCAUUUUCUGCUCCCGGCUGACGGGCCUGCCCAGCCACACAGAAAGGGAUGUUUGCUCAGGUGCAACCAGGAGCAGCUUCGUGAAGUUCCUUGAGUUGUCCCUGUAAACCGAAUCACAUAACAUGGUUCUGUUUCAAUGGAGGUCACUUCAACUUCUUCAAUAAUGGUCAGGCACAACUUAUGAUAUAUAAUUAUUCAAAGAAAACAUUUGUCACUGGGAUCUGGAGCCAAACGCUUUGGGACCAAUAUUUAUUUAUUUAAUAGGUACACACUAUUAUCUACACUAUUCACGGUGAUCGCAGGGUUUCCUUGAAUCUUCUUGAAUGUGUUUGCUGGAGAGAAUGUAUCACCCCAAAGGAAAGAUUUUUCAAGGAAAUGAUAGAGUCAAGGUUGCAAUACGAAUAAACCUCCCUAUAACUUUCUCUCUGUAUUAGGUCAUCCGUCACUAACAUUUUUCCUCUUAAC